Molecule: transfer RNA, 72 nt
Filed under: Phrynosoma platyrhinos (Desert horned lizard)
Lineage: Eukaryota; Metazoa; Chordata; Lepidosauria; Squamata; Phrynosomatidae
Description: tRNA-OTHER
Source: RNAcentral
GCCAGAGUGUUGUAGUGGUUUGAGUGUUGGACUAUGACUCUGGAGACCGGAGUUUGAAUCCCAGCUCUGGCA